Molecule: long non-coding RNA, 385 nt
Filed under: Pan troglodytes (chimpanzee)
Lineage: Eukaryota; Metazoa; Chordata; Mammalia; Primates; Hominidae
Description: long non-coding RNA NONPTRT016806
Source: RNAcentral
GAGAGGACUGUUGCCUCCUUGUCAAUGUCCCCAUCCUGGGAAGCCUGCCUGUGUGCACCAAGGCCCAUCUGACCCAUAUAUCAGAAAAGGUGCCCUUCUAGGGAGCGACACCCCCCACCAAGCCCCCCAGUCACUGUCCAUGCUUUCCUCUAGGUUAAAAAUGCAGCUGCAUCUGUGCAGAAACCAGGUGUUGUCUGUGAGUUCUGCCUCGCUGGCCAGAGGUGGAAGGAAGGAGGAAAGGAGAGGGGCCUCCAUACUUCCAGAGCCCCACUGGGGGUUACCUUCGCUUGCCCCCACUCUUUUUGUCUUGCUCUGAGGAUGCCAGGACUUUAAGGACAUUGUCAGCAAGCACAGAAAGAAUCUCAGUCAUCUGGACUGCUUGGUG